This 253-nucleotide ribosomal RNA is filed under the name uncultured bacterium. Its description in RNAcentral is "partial 16S ribosomal RNA". It matches the Rfam family "Bacterial small subunit ribosomal RNA", at positions 524 to 776 of the family's 1533-position model. The record is from RNAcentral.
UACAGAGGUCUCAAGCGUUGUUCGGAUUCAUUGGGCGUAAAGGGUGUGUAGGUGGCGCCGUAAGUGGGGUGUGAAAUUUCGGAGCUUAACUCCGAAACUGCAUUCCAUACUGCGGUGCUUGAGGACUGGAGAGGAGACUGGAAUUUACGGUGUAGCAGUGAAAUGCGUAGAUAUCGUAAGGAAGACCAGUGGCGAAGGCGGGUCUCUGGACAGUUCCUGACACUGAUGCGCGACAGCGUGGGGAGCAAACAGG